GAAACAAUUCGUCUUUUGGUGGGGGGAAUGAAAAGGAGUGAAGAGGUUGGGUCUGUACCUCUAGGUGCAGUGGGAAUCCAUCAAAGACAAAGUCAAGAUGUGUCAGGAGUUAGAGCUGUGUCAUUUAUGUACAUUUUAGAUGCUCCAUAGAUGCAGAUGAGUCUGGCAUGUCGCUUCUGUCAUUUCCUAUGCAGCAGCGUAUGUGUAGUAACAAAAUGUGAGGAUGGAACUUGCAUUACCUGUUACAUACCUUGACACAGAAAGUCCUGGGGUUCGUAGAUAUGGGCUCACCCUGGAAGACUUAGAGCUAACUAUUAUCUGAGCUCUCACUGUGAAUGUUUGCUGUAACAACCGUGGAAAUGUAUAUCCAAAACACUGAGUCAGAAACCAGCUAUAAAGAACUUCUAAGUUGCCCGCAAAUCCAGAUGCUGCAUUUUUUGCAAGACCCUCCACCAGCGAAAAGAUUACUGCUCACUGAAGGCUCAGAUGAUAGUUAGCGUUUUUUAGCAAUAAAGUAUUUUUUAAUUAAGAAUUCACGUGACAUUUCAGUGGAUUAGUAACUGCACAGAAACGUGCCCACAGCUGAGUUCGUAAUUAUUACAUAAAUAGGUAAUUUAAUAGGUGCUUAAAAUGCCUUCUAUUUUGCAGCAAUCCUUGAUAGUUAUAUGUGGUUAUUUGGGGGAAAUUGGCUGAAGUUCUUUGAAGGGCUGGGAAGUUAUUUUUCUGAUUUAAAAUAAUGAAACAUAGACUCGCACUGUCUGACAAUUCUAGCCAUCUGUCAACUUUUUACGAAAGGAUGACAUUUCAGUAAUGAGGGGGGCGUCCAUCUGAUGUUCACCCUACGUAUAAUACAUAAAUGUGGCCGAAGUUGGGGGGGAGGGGCUGCUGUUUGGUACUGAGCUACUUUAAUUGUUGCUUGUAUCAUUUGUGAGGAAGUCUCUCCCAUAAAAUGAUUCUUAAAAGACACUUGACAUUUGAGAAGCAAUCACCUGUGAUCCUUUUAAGUCCUUAAGUUUGUCAUUACCUUUACAGCAUAUACUUUCCUCCGUAAAAGUUUUAGAUUCUAAGACCAGCAGAGAGCCACAGAGUCAUGUUGUGCUGUAAUAUCAGAUUGUCCAUCAAGCUCUCUCAGGGCUAAGAGGGUAACUUCUACUCACCAGCCUCCAGGCCAUACGAACCCAAUUUAUGUUUUGGAACAUUUAAAAUACAUAUGUUGUAGAUCUUUGGGCUCUCUUAAGAAUAGUCAAAACUGUAAUAUUAAAUAUCAAAGGACUCUUGCAGUAUGGGGGAGGAGCAUUCUAAACCACACGCAUCUUCCCUACCUGCCAGAUUCUCCUAAGCCCCCUCCCACUCUUCCCAGGUUAGAAGUCACCAUGGAGCACUGUUACUAAUGGGAUUAUGUGUUGGAUCCCUCAGGUGUAUUAGGACAGAAGAAAGGUUGAGAAUGACUCAUAUGUAUUUUUUGUGUGUGUGUGAGGAAGAUCAGCCCUGAGCUAACAUCUGCCAAUCCUCUUUUUGCUGAGGAAGGCUGGCCCUGGGCUAACAUGUGUGCCCACCUUCCUCUACUUUAUAUGGGACGCUGCCACAGCAUGGCCUGACAAGCAGUGCAUCAGUGCACGCCUGGGAUCCAAACCCAGGCCGCUAGCAGCGGAGCACACGCACUUAACUACCACGCCAUGGGGCUAGCCCCGAUUUGUAUGUAUUUUUAACCUCCCCUUUCUCCCCCUGCAACACACACAAAUUUGAAAGCUGUGUUGCUUUCUACAGAAGAGGAUUUUCUUUUAAUUUGAAAGACAGUUUGAUGUCUUUUUUCUCUUUUCAGGUAUAUGAGCUCUUUGAAAGCAGAUGCUGUUGUUUCCAUGUUCUGAUCCUUUAGAGAUUAUGAAGGCACAAUUCCUGCCUUUGAUUUGCUUAACUUAACAGUCAAGUGGAAUAGAGGCAGGCCAGUGGUUGCAGUGUAGCCACUUAAGUGUGCUAAAAGAGAUUUAUCAGCAGGUUGCAGGGAAACAUGGCCUUGAGGGUAGUGAUCCAGCUUGGCAGGUCAGGCGCGCGUGCGUGCACGCAACGAGCUGUAAGAUUGUGAAGGUGAGUCAUUAAUGCAGGAAUCUGAACUUCUGUUUAUAGCAGUUGGCAGUUUUGAGAGGAGAUAAGAGGUGUUGUGUCAGACUGGGAGUGUGCUGGAAAACAUGCAAGUUUUAAAGUGAACGGUUUUUCAGUUAACACAAAACCUUAAGUGAUGAGAUGAGGGGCAAGCUGUUUAGAGGCGUCCAUGGGGCACAAUACUAAAUUGUCUCUGAGAAUUGCUUCACAAGUGGAGUCAUUUCCUCUGCAUCUUGACUCGGAAGCUUGAAAAUGCUUUGUGUGCAGAGCUUUAAGUGACAACUAGAAACUUGAACUGGACAACCAGGAAUGCGGCUGAUGGGGCUGGGCAUUGAGGUCACAAAAGGGCAUGAGAGCAGUGAGGCAGGCUGCCCAAAAGCUGCUGCCUGGAGACUACCUCUCCCACCAGUGCUCAGCUUUGCACCUUGGUGGGCUGAUGUUUUCUUUUAAAAAAUUGUGCAUUUGCUAUAUGUCAUAUACUGUUAGGCGUUCUCAUGUUUGUCAUUAAAUCUCCCGAUCCUAUAAGAGAAGUAUUAUUUUUCUCUGUUUAAAGGGAAACAGGAGCUCUGGAAGAUGAUGUGACAUUUCUAGGGUCGUAAGGCAAAGUAGCUACAAAGUAGCAAUCAAACCUAGGUCUUGUGAUUUCAGAUCUGGUUCUCUUUACAUUACAGGACAGUUCCUAGAAUAGUUGCAACUAAUGUUUUCUGUUUUCUCCAAAUCUAUCCCCUGAUCCCCUAACCCACACAAGCAGUGAAAACACCACAUUUAUGUGUAGGCUGCUGUGUGACACGAAGAAGCAUGUAAUUGUAGUGUUCCAUUUUUCCCAAUCUUGUCAUCAAGCCACAGAUGCCUUCUGUUCCUUGGUGCUACCUCCCCUCCAGGUAUUCUCCGUCUCCGGGCCAUAGGUCCUUUGUUUUCAUUUUGAAGGAGCCCUGCCGUCCCUCACAUGGAGAGCAGUGAGAGGCUGAAGAGCAGUGGUUGGAUGAAGAAGAAACUCGUUUAUUCAGCAGAUAUUUGGUGUACACCUGUUAUGUGUUAGCCCUUGGGAACUGAUGAACAAAACAGACACUGUCCUGCCUUCAUGGAAUUAGGCCUUAUAAAGGCCAUUUCAAAAUUAGAGUGGGGUGAGUACUAUGAGGGAGAGGAACAGGUUGUUGCAAAGGGUGUACAGUGGGAGAAACUCAUCACAGUGCCGCUGACUGCUGGGAAAACAGGAGAGGAGAAGGGCACAGGGCUUCCCUGCUUCUCUUUGUGGAUAGACUCUUGCCUUCUCAAGUCUGUUCUUGGCUGAAAUGUCACGAGUGUGCUGGAGCUGCUGGAGCCACUAACACUGUUGUAUCUCUUCCCUCCCCAUCCCCCAAGCUCUGAAAGCCUUGGAAACUCAGAUACCUUGCAUGUACACAAAUAGACCAAUAUAAUUUGAUAACUUGAAAGACCUUUGAGUUCAUUUAGUCUGAGCCCUCAUUUUACAGCUAGGCCUGGUAAUGACUGACCUAGCAUCACACAGGUGGCAGUGCACAGGACUACAAUCCAGGUCAGGUGAAGUGAGUGCCAGCACACCAGUCUGCCAGAUAAUAACAUGAGCCACAAAUUGUGCUGGGCGCGUGGUCUUGAAUGCCGAGUUCAGCCAGCUGAGGUGUGAGUGGCUGGGAGAGGCGUAGACGCAGAAGAGAGACAGGAAGCUGGCCAUCAGAUAGGUCUAAUAGAAAGUGACGUGCUUUGGCAUUGAAAUGCCAUUAUGUAUCUUUAGACAUCCGGGCUUUUCCAGAGAAAAACAGGGAUGCACAAAUUGGCGAAACUGACAACCGAAUGUGUAUAGAUGCUGAGAAAUGUCAACAUUGAAAAAUGACAAUUUUGAAUUUUCAUAGUCUAAUAGAAUGCCAAGCUUCCUUGGGAAAACUGUUAUUCUUAUAUCUGGAGUCGUCUUGUUGUGUAGAAAUUCGUACUUAUGCCUGAAGAUUAAAUUAACAAAGCUUCAGAAAUUCUGUACAUGGGCUAUUAACAGAAUAUUUCAUAUUCAUUUUCAAAUAUUCCUAUGAUUGUAUUAUUUCCUUUUAUUAAAUGACUACCAAAGUAACAGGCCAUUUCUAAAACUGUACUCGAUAUCUCUUCUCUAAAAUUUGUCCUAAGAAACUUAUAUUUUUAAACUCUUUCUGAGCAACCUAUUAACCUAAGAAACUUACAUACAGUAUCAUAAACUCAUAUUACAUCAAAAUAUGUAUAGAAAUGUGUGUAUGUAUAGAAAUAGUACAUUUAAAAAGUUUGGGGGCCGGCCCCGUGGCUUAGCGGUUAAGUGUGCGCACUCCGCUACUGGCGGCCCGGGUUCGGAUCCCGGGCGCGCAUCGAUGCACCGCUUCUCCGGCCGUGCUGAGGCCGCGUCCCACAUACAGCAACUAUAAGGAUGUGCAACUAUGACAUACAGCUAUCUACUGGGGCUUUGGGGGGAAAAAAAAAAAGGAGGAGGAGGAUUGGC
Long non-coding RNA from Diceros bicornis minor, 4573 nucleotides. RefSeq lists it as uncharacterized. NCBI's taxonomy places the organism in Eukaryota, Metazoa, Chordata, Mammalia, Perissodactyla, Rhinocerotidae. The record is from RefSeq and is a predicted model, not a curated record. The transcript is spliced from 5 exons.